UCACCCUAGCUAUACUCUUUUCUUUCUUUCUAUGUUCCCUUCUUUUUCCUGUCCUUUAUUUUGUUUGUUUGUUUUGAGGCAGCAUCUAGCUAAAUCAUUAAGUUCCCUGGGCUGUGCUUGAAUUUGGUAUCCUCCUGUCUCAGCCUCCCAGAAUAUUCAGGGAUUAUAGGCAUUCACCACUACAUCUGACAAGCUAUGCUCUCUUAGGCAACAGGGACACUGCCCUGGUUUCCUUGUCACUAAAUCUCUCUCCCACAUCUGGGGAAUACCUGAAUGUUUCUCAUAGUUUCCAAUUACAUUCCUAUGAGUCACUCUGCCUGUAAACUAUCCUGUCCUUUCUGAUUACAUGGACUUGGACAGGAAUGGAACAUUGGAGAGAAACGUCAGAGGGACCAUAGCUUGAGGUCGAAAGGUCAUUGCUUUUAGGAGUCAGGUUGGCAAAUCGCAUUAGAAUAAGAUGAUCGGAGAUGUAGGUCAUGUAUCUUCCCUUAUAGAGACUAAAAAUAAAAUAGUAAUGAAAUUAAAAAGUAAAACCACUGUAUGGCCAGGUAAAAUUAACCUGCAGUCAGGAAUAUCUACAUAUUUUAUAUUCUAAUCUCGUAUGUAAUUAUUCAACAAGUUGCCUCUCUCUCCAUUUACGUCCUUCCCUUGUUUAUUAGAAUUAGCAAAAAGCAGCAAACACUAUCCAUUGAAACCUCUUUUUCCCGCUAUGGAGUAGAGGAAUGAAUGGGCUUCUAAAAGGGACAAUAACUUAGCGCUGAAUGAGCUGUGAUGGCAUUCACACACUUGGUGGCCCCAGCUUUCAUCAGGAUGCCACAGCCAGGUUGGCAGGAAGCAAGCAGGCUCUCAGCGUCUAGAUGAGGAGCAUUUGGUAGCCUCUCCUUAUGCAGACCAUUCACUCCCCGCAGGGAGAGCGUACACAGCGUUGGGUUAGCAAUCUGAAGAAUGAAUUUUUUGUGCAAAGACAAAGAAUUGACUUGGCCAAGGUGUCCUGAGUUACAGUGGCUGGGAAGUCAAGAAAGGGUUAAGUUGAGGGAGGAAGCAUGGAAAAUUAGAAAAACUCCUGGCUUUUGAAAUCCUUCCCACUUUUUAAUCUCUUUCCAAAAGGAACUAAAAGCACUUCUUUUGCAGAGCUCUGAGGUAACUGUCAUGUAUAAGGAAUGCAGGGAAUGUUUGCCAUAUUUACAAUGUGGGCCACCAUGCGGGGUUACAACCAUAAGCACAGAAGAAUGUGGUUCCUGCCUUCAUGGAGUUUGCAAUCUGAGUAACUUGCAUGAUCAGUGACUGCGUGAUGGCAAGGUCUCAGCUCAGGAAAGAAUAAUAUUUCAUUUUCGUAAAGCAGCAAGUGUCUAACUGGUCCUCGUGUAUAUGGGGGUUUGGCAUAUGUGGGCUUAAACCAGGAAAUUUUAAAAGUAAAGCUUUUUUGUUUUA
Molecule: long non-coding RNA, 1431 nt
Organism: Cavia porcellus (domestic guinea pig)
Lineage: Eukaryota; Metazoa; Chordata; Mammalia; Rodentia; Caviidae
Exons: 2
Source: RefSeq, a predicted model, not a curated record